GAGGAUGUAGCCAAGUGGAUUAACGCAGUGGAUUGUGAAUCCACCAUUCGCAGGUUCAAUUCCUGUUAUUUUCC
Molecule: transfer RNA, 74 nt
Filed under: Spinacia oleracea (spinach)
Lineage: Eukaryota; Viridiplantae; Streptophyta; Magnoliopsida; Caryophyllales; Amaranthaceae
Rfam family: tRNA
About the family: Transfer RNA (tRNA) molecules are approximately 80 nucleotides in length. Their secondary structure includes four short double-helical elements and three loops (D, anti-codon, and T loops). Further hydrogen bonds mediate the characteristic L-shaped molecular structure. tRNAs have two regions of fundamental functional importance: the anti-codon, which is responsible for specific mRNA codon recognition, and the 3' end, to which the tRNAs corresponding amino acid is attached (by aminoacyl-tRNA synthetases). tRNAs cope with the degeneracy of the genetic code in two manners: having more than one tRNA (with a specific anti-codon) for a particular amino acid; and 'wobble' base-pairing, i.e. permitting non-standard base-pairing at the 3rd anti-codon position.
Source: Rfam by way of RNAcentral